This 153-nucleotide non-coding RNA is filed under the name uncultured Agathobacter sp. The record is from RNAcentral. Lineage: Bacteria; Bacillati; Bacillota; Clostridia; Lachnospirales; Lachnospiraceae.
ACAUUAGUUUUUCUUAAUGUUCUGUUCACACCCAGCAACUCGGCAACAGGAUGUUGCCGAGAGCGAGACCUGAGCCAUGGAUGGCGAAUGUCUCGUGUUUGCGUCAUUUUUUAAUUACCUAAAUCAGAACAUUUAGAAAAUCUUAUGUCCGGA